This 766-nucleotide long non-coding RNA is filed under the name Homo sapiens (human). Its description in RNAcentral is "non-protein coding TBX5-AS1:4". The record is from RNAcentral. Lineage: Eukaryota; Metazoa; Chordata; Mammalia; Primates; Hominidae.
CGCAGCCACAGGUUCCGGACGUCUUGGCCCCGGGAAUAAAUAAAGACAUAAACCAACCCGGCUUUCUCCGGAGGAAUGAGGCGCAGUGGUGGAUGCUCGCAAACUUUUGCGCACCGCUGGAAACCCACUAGGUUGAGUUGCAAAACGUACCGCGUAGACGCCCCUGGUGGCGCCGAGAGAAGAGCUAGGCCUGCCCAGCACAGAGCCGGAGAGCGUCGGGCCUUCCGGAAGGGUCGACGAGAUGAGUUCCUACUUGACCUCUGAGCCGAGGUGGGCCGGAAACCGAGGCCUAGGCCCCGCCGGGGCUGCAAGGAAAAGGGGAAACUCCGAGCGUAGCGUCUUUUCCUUGUGGUUCCUUUCUCCGGCAUCCCGGACUGCGGGCCCUGCAGCCACCUGGACCGGCAUUCAAAGGAUUCUGCAAGUCCAGCUUCACAGACUGGCUUUCCCAGACGCUCCGAAGCCCGCACCACGAACAGAAUAAAGGAGAGACGAGAGAUCGCAACUAGAUUUGAGAAUCCUCGUUCUUUUCCCCAAUCGUUCGGGCAGUAAACUCCGGAGCCGGCUACAGCGCGCAUCCUCCCUUCCUCCUUUCGGAGAACUGUCGCUUUCCCGAAGCUGCUCCCAGCUGGGUUUUCUCCCGAAGUUUAUUUUUCUCAUUUUGCAAAAUUCCUGCCCUGAUUUUAAUACUGCAACAGGACAGCAGAGGUUCCUCUUUAAAAAGUCAAAACCCAAACCAAAGGGGCCCAUUGCUGUUGAUAAUUUUUUU